UACAGAGGAUGCAAGCGUUAUCCGGAAUGAUUGGGCGUAAAGCGUCUGUAGGUGGCUUUUCAAGUUCGCCGUCAAAUCCCAGGGCUCAACCCUGGACAGGCGGUGGAAACUACCAAGCUGGAGUAUGGUAGGGGCAGAGGGAAUUUCCGGUGGAGCGGUGAAAUGCAUUGAGAUCGGAAAGAACACCAACGGCGAAAGCACUCUGCUGGGUCGACACUGACACUGAGAGACGAAAGCUAGGGGAGCAAAUGGG
RNAcentral lists this ribosomal RNA (253 nucleotides) under uncultured bacterium. RNAcentral's name for it is "partial 16S ribosomal RNA". It matches the Rfam family "Bacterial small subunit ribosomal RNA", at positions 524 to 776 of the family's 1533-position model. The record is from RNAcentral.